This 407-nucleotide ribosomal RNA is filed under the name uncultured bacterium. Its description in RNAcentral is "partial 16S ribosomal RNA". It matches the Rfam family "Bacterial small subunit ribosomal RNA", at positions 28 to 526 of the family's 1533-position model. The record is from RNAcentral.
GACGAACGCUGGCGGCGUGCCUAAUACAUGCAAGUAGGACGCAGUUGCGAACGGGUGAGUAACGCGCAGGUAACUACCUAUAAGAGGGGGAUAACUAUUGGAAACGAUAGCUAAUACCGCAUACUAGUAGAUGGAACUGCGUUGUAUUAGCUAGUAGGUAGGGUAAUGGCCUACCUAGGCAACGCUACAUAGCCGACCAGGGAUGGUGAUCGGCCCAACUUGGCCCUGGACCCGGCCCAGACUACUACGGGGGGGCGCAGGAGGGACUCGUCUGCAAUGGGAGGAACCCUGACCCGGCAACGCCGCGUGAGUGAAGAAGGUUUUCGGAUCGUAAAGCUCUGUUGUUAAGGGAGCGGUACGUAACCAGAAAGGGACGGCUAACUACGUGCCAGCAGCCGCGGUAAUAC